CUCUUAUUCAGAGUGAUGGAGAUACAUAGGAUCUGUGAAGUCACGGCAACCCCGUCAAGCGGAAGGUGCCUACCUGAGCGAGCAAUCGAACAAUAAGGG
Molecule: non-coding RNA, 99 nt
Filed under: Firmicutes bacterium CAG:646
Lineage: Bacteria; Bacillati; Bacillota
Also listed under: 1 other name
Description: SAM riboswitch aptamer (S box leader)
Rfam family: SAM riboswitch aptamer (S box leader)
About the family: The SAM riboswitch is found upstream of a number of genes which code for proteins involved in methionine or cysteine biosynthesis in Gram-positive bacteria. The SAM riboswitch acts at the level of transcription termination control.
Source: Rfam by way of RNAcentral